RNAcentral lists this ribosomal RNA (392 nucleotides) under Staphylococcus aureus. RNAcentral describes it as "bacterial SSU rRNA". It matches the Rfam family "Bacterial small subunit ribosomal RNA", at positions 1 to 382 of the family's 1533-position model. Lineage: Bacteria; Bacillati; Bacillota; Bacilli; Caryophanales; Staphylococcaceae. The record is from RNAcentral.
UUUAUGGAGAGUUUGAUCCUGGCUCAGGAUGAACGCUGGCGGCGUGCCUAAUACAUGCAAGUCGAGCGAACGGACGAGAAGCUUGCUUCUCUGAUGUUAGCGGCGGACGGGUGAGUAACACGUGGAUAACCUACCUAUAAGACUGGGAUAACUUCGGGAAACCGGAGCUAAUACCGGAUAAUAUUUUGAACCGCAUGGUUCAAAAGUGAAAGACGGUCUUGCUGUCACUUAUAGAUGGAUCCGCGCUGCAUUAGCUAGUUGGUAAGGUAACGGCUUACCAAGGCAACGAUGCAUAGCCGACCUGAGAGGGUGAUCGGCCACACUGGAACUGAGACACGGUCCAGACUCCUACGGGAGGCAGCAGUAGGGAAUCUUCCGCAAUGGGCGAAAGC